GACGAACGCUGGCGGCGUGCUUAACACAUGCAAGUCGAACGGAAAGGCCCUGCUUUUGUGGGGUGCUCGAGUGGCGAACGGGUGAGUAACACGUGAGUAACCUGCCCUUGACUUUGGGAUAACUUCAGGAAACUGGGGCUAAUACCGGAUAGGAGCUCCUGCUGCAUGGUGGGGGUUGGAAAGUUUCGGCGGUUGGGGAUGGACUCGCGGCUUAUCAGCUUGUUGGUGGGGUAGUGGCUUACCAAGGCUUUGACGGGUAGCCGGCCUGAGAGGGUGACCGGCCACAUUGGGACUGAGAUACGGCCCAGACUCCUACGGGAGGCAGCAGUGGGGAAUAUUGCACAAUGGGCGGAAGCCUGAUGCAGCAACGCCGCGUGCGGGAGGACGGCCUUCGGGUUGUAAACCGCUUUCGCCUGUGACGAAGCGUGAGUGACGGUAAUGGGUAAAGAAGCACCGGCUAACCACGU
RNAcentral lists this ribosomal RNA (467 nucleotides) under uncultured bacterium. Its description in RNAcentral is "partial 16S ribosomal RNA". It matches the Rfam family "Bacterial small subunit ribosomal RNA", at positions 28 to 506 of the family's 1533-position model. The record is from RNAcentral.